AUACGGAGGGGGUUAGCGUUGUUCGGAAUUACUGGGCGUAAAGCGCACGUAGGCGGACUGGAAAGUUGGGGGUGAAAUCCCGGGGCUCAACCCCGGAACUGCCUCCAAAACUUCCAAUCUAGAGAUCGAGAGAGGUGAGUGGAAUUCCAAGUGUAGAGGUGAAAUUCGUAGAUAUUUGGAGGAACACCAGUGGCGAAGGCGGCUCACUGGCUCGAUACUGACGCUGAGGUGCGAAAGCGUGGGGAGCAAACAGGAUUAGAAACCCGAGUAGUCC
This 274-nucleotide ribosomal RNA is filed under the name uncultured bacterium. RNAcentral describes it as "partial 16S ribosomal RNA". It matches the Rfam family "Bacterial small subunit ribosomal RNA", at positions 523 to 796 of the family's 1533-position model. The record is from RNAcentral.